GUCUGUAGCUUAAUUGGUAAAAGUGUCGUUAGCUCGCAAACUGGUGAUUGUAGGUUCAAUCCCUGCUAGCGGCC
This is a non-coding RNA of Molorchus minor, 74 nucleotides long. The record is from the annotation of a GenBank genome assembly. NCBI's taxonomy places the organism in Eukaryota, Metazoa, Arthropoda, Insecta, Coleoptera, Cerambycidae.